Molecule: ribosomal RNA, 498 nt
Filed under: uncultured bacterium
Lineage: Bacteria
Description: partial 16S ribosomal RNA
Rfam family: Bacterial small subunit ribosomal RNA
Source: RNAcentral
GAUGAGCGCUGGCGGCGUGCCUAAUACAUGCAAGUCGAGCGAACGGACGAGAAGCUUGCUUCUCUGAUGUUAGCGGCGGACGGGUGAGUAACACGUGGAUAACCUACCUAUAAGACUGGGAUAACUUCGGGAAACCGGAGCUAAUACCGGAUAAUAUUUUGAACCGCAUGGUUCAAAAGUGAAAGACGGUCUUGCUGUCACUUAUAGAUGGAUCCGCGCUGCAUUAGCUAGUUGGUAAGGUAACGGCUUACCAAGGCAACGAUGCAUAGCCGACCUGAGAGGGUGAUCGGCCACACUGGAACUGAGACACGGUCCAGACUCCUACGGGAGGCAGCAGUAGGGAAUCUUCCGCAAUGGGCGAAAGCCUGACGGAGCAACGCCGCGUGAGUGAUGAAGGGCUUCGGAUCGUAAAACUCUGUUAUUAGGGAAGAACAUAUGUGUAAGUAACUGUGCACAUCUUGACGGUACCUAAUCAGAAAGCCACGGCUAACUACGUGC